Molecule: transfer RNA, 65 nt
Filed under: Dipodomys ordii (Ord's kangaroo rat)
Lineage: Eukaryota; Metazoa; Chordata; Mammalia; Rodentia; Heteromyidae
Rfam family: tRNA
About the family: Transfer RNA (tRNA) molecules are approximately 80 nucleotides in length. Their secondary structure includes four short double-helical elements and three loops (D, anti-codon, and T loops).
Source: Rfam by way of RNAcentral
GGUGGCUCAGUGGUACAGCACUUGCCUAGCAUGCAUGAGGCCCUGGGUUCGAUUCCCCAGCACCA